This is a long non-coding RNA of Parus major (Great Tit), 3489 nucleotides long. RefSeq lists it as uncharacterized. The transcript is spliced from 3 exons. NCBI's taxonomy places the organism in Eukaryota, Metazoa, Chordata, Aves, Passeriformes, Paridae. The record is from RefSeq and is a predicted model, not a curated record.
GAUAGCUGCUGGAGGGGUCACAGUGCCAUGCCACCCCUCUCCAGCCUGUCUCAUGACAGCAUCCCCAGUCCCCACCGGUCUCCGAACGUGUUGGCUACCGAGCUAACCCCUGCUCGCUGCUCAUCUGCUGACUUGCAAAAUCACAUCUUUCCCAGUGGUGGUGUGGUGGCAGUGACAGCCUCGGAGGGAGCUGGUCAGCUCUGAGUCAGUAUUGUGACCCCAGGGCCAGAGGCUUAUCAGCCACUCCUCCUCUUCACACCCUGUGGCUGUGGAGCUUUCCCAGUUUGGGGAAUGCUGAAAGUAAACAUGGUGGCUGUGGAAGGUGCUUGUGCAUCAGUAUUUUUCCAUGAAAGGACCUAUCCCAAAGUAGAAAAGCAGUCAGAAUUAGAUGCUGAAGAUAGCUGUUAUUUCUGCUCUGCUGUUCCUGACUUGCUGUCUCUUCAAAUGGACCUGUGCCCACUGCUACCUCUAAGGCUGUGGAGACUUUCAUUAGUUCCUUCAGCUUCCUCUAUCAGUCACUUAGACCUUUUAAUUUGCCAUUUGUAUCUGACAUCUAGAAUUUUCACUUACCCAUUCCUGACAUGUUACUCACUGUAAGGUUGCUUCUCUUUCCUUUAAACCCUUACCCAGAAUUGGGUUUUGAUCACCAUUCCUGCCUUGUGUAGGUCAAAGUAAUUUUGGGACAAUUCAACAGGCAACCUGCUUUCACUUUGAGUCUCUGUGUUCAACAUAUCCCCUGUCCUCACUCAAGUUUACAAUUGCUUUAAUGUUUGGUAAAAGGGAGUUUCUCAAGCCAUAUUUUUUCUACACCUCCAGAUGAUGCUUAUUCCAGUUCUCUAUGUUUCACCUAACUUAGUCCCAUUCAUGUGCUGGGAUCAACCAAAUCACUGGCAUCCAGGUAUCUGCUAAAUUUUGCAUCAGUGAUUAUUCAGUGUUCAGGUGUCAGUUUGGUGAAUGUGUCACAAAUCAUCAUUUUUAAGGUAUCGGCUUCAUUCCCCUGCCCACUUUUUUUUUUUUUUUCCGUUGGAAAUUUUUCAUUUGGAAUCCUAAUUAAGAAAUACAGUGAUGCCUAUAAAUGUAUGCAUCAUGCUGGUGAUAUCACUUAUUUGCUCUGGGCUUGCCAGGUUGUCUCUGUCAUCUUUUAACAACAGAAGGUGAGUCACUGUUCUGGCAUGUGCAGAAAACCUAAGGACACAUUUCUGUGAGCGUCUGUAACAGAACCUGUCAGGUCUAUCAUGACUGGCAGAUCUGCGCCGGGUCAAGUGUAAAAUAGAUUUGUGGAUGGAAAUGCCACUAAAGUUGAUUUGUGCCUUUUUCUUAUUUGAAUCAGAAGAGGCCAAGAGCCAUUUUCUCCAUUCCCUGCCAUUCUACCUCACCACAUCUGGCAGCCAUGUCCCAAGAGGGGUAGUCUUUGCCUCUCCCCUCAGUGUUCUCUCAAGUCUUCCCAUCAAAGAGGGGAGCUGGACAUGUGGUGGGAGAGAGGGCAGAGUGCUCUGUGUGCCUUCCCCACCUGCCACCGUGGGUCUUUGCACCCUGGGAGCUCUCUGGGUGGGAUGCAUCGAGUUGCCUGGGAAGCUGGGACCUGACACAGGGACCCAGCAUCCCUCAUAGGUCUGCAGACAUAACAGCCAGGAACCAUGUAUUUCUAAGUACAUCAGGUCUCCUUAGAUCUUCAUACAUGAUGCAAGAUUAUUGAAGCCUGAUUUAUUUGCCCUUGUUAUUAAUCCUCAGACAGCUGUAAGCCAUGUCUGCUUUCAUGGAAACAGCAGUAGAAGGACCAGGCUCUCUGGUUAAUUUGGCUGUUGCACCAUUUCCUAAUAAACCAUUUGGAAAGCUUUUUAACCUGGACUAUCUCAAAACUGGUAUUUUUUUAUUACAGUCAUUGUUGGAGUUCAAGGUUUAGGAGGUGUUUGUUCAGGAGUGGAAGGUGUCCAGAAGGUGUGAGCAGCACUUUACUUGGUGAUGCUCACUUUUAAGGCGGAUAAACCCAAGAUAAACCAGGGCUGUAAAUUCUCUCAUAAAUACUUGAAGGUGGGAACAGAAUUAAGUUUUCCUCCAGUUCCCAUGGGAAGAAAAGAUUACUAAGUAGGGUUUAUUUAAUGGCAGAAUCCCACUCCUCUUGUGUACACAGUUUGGCCAUGUCUGCCAGUAGGGACAGGGCUACAAGAAAAACUGCAAUCACUGUGUGGCAAAGCAGUGCAUUUCUGGUAAACCAUUCAUGUGGGAUCAUCCAAAAUGUGGCUGAAGGUAAUAAAAAAAGGGGGAUUUCCAAAAUAGAACUCUGUCCAAAGCUCAGUGGCUGAAUUUUUUUUUUUUUACAGAUAUUUUAGACCACACACACAAAAAAAAGCAAUGUGAGACUAAUGAAUGAGCUGUGUUUGACAAGUGAGUGGUUCAGAUGUGGUGGACCUUGUAAGGUGGCUGAAGACUGUGGCCAACUCCAGGACCUUGGUUUACUGGGGCGAAAGGUAAAUGCCUAAAACCAGUUGUGGAGGCAGGUGAUCCUACCAAGGUUUUCCCCUGGAGGGAGAUGCCCUGAAAGAGUUGUGAUAAGGCUUAAUCUCAAACUCUGCCUGGGAGAGAUUCCUCCUGGAUAAAGCCAUCCUCUCCUGUCAUGGCCGUGAUUCAGGCAGGACUCAACACCUACUGGGAGGUGAACAUGGGAUCAGCCCUGCUGUGGUCAGUGGAGGACAUCUUCUCCCUGUGGUGCCCCUCAAGACCCAGACAGGGGCUGUGUCCGUGUGUACCAUGCCGGAUGCACUGCUCACCCUCUGACACCUCAGAGCAACCCCGUGGGAAGGCUGAGAGGAUGAGUUCACCUUUCCAGAUCACCGAAAAAGAAACCUGUGCUGCUUUUGAUCUGUUAUUUAUUUUGAGUGUUACUCUGACUAGACAUAGAAAAAAACAAAAAAACCCGACAAAACAAAAGCAACUUGGAGCCUCAGGUGUUUAUACAAAAUGUAGUUCAGUAAAUUGCUGUUAUAAAAGGCGGCUUCUCAUGGGGUUGCAAAUGAAUGAACGUGUAAAGCUAAGGAUUUGUCUUUCCUACUUGGCAUCAAUACCUGUGGUCAUGCUCUGGAAGUUUGACUUGUUUUGUCAUUUUUGAUACACAAAAUAAACAAAAACCUGAGACAAAGGACAAGCUUGUAAAUAGAGGAGCAGCCACUGGGGAAUUUUAUUAUAUUUGUUUGCAUUUUAUUACCUUCUUGUGCCAGCUAAUAAGGUGACCUUGCAACAGAUAGAUGCAGAUAAGGUUAGCUGCUUCUGUUGUCCUAUUUUGCAAACUGGGAAGUAAAUUGCUGAAAUUAUUGGGAAUAAGGAAAUUGCCUGUGGAAAAAAGAAAAAAAUCCCCUGCUGCUGUUAAUUCAAAGAGUAUAGUUUUAUGAGAUAGAUUGAAGUGAUUAACUGUUAUAACUGUUUGGGGUAAAAAUGAAAUUAAAAUGGGCUGGUAUUUUUUAUUGCUUCAACAAGAAGGAAAAGGCCAUGGGG